RNAcentral lists this ribosomal RNA (435 nucleotides) under uncultured bacterium. Its description in RNAcentral is "partial 16S ribosomal RNA". It matches the Rfam family "Bacterial small subunit ribosomal RNA", at positions 29 to 507 of the family's 1533-position model. The record is from RNAcentral.
AGCGAACGCUGGCGGCAGGCUUAACACAUGCAAGUCGAACGGGCAUCUUCGGAUGUCAGUGGCAGACGGGUGAGUAACACGUGGGAACGUACCCUUCGGUUCGGAAUAACUCAGGGAAACUUGAGCUAAUACCGGAUACGCCCUUUUGGGGAAAGGUUUACUGCCGAAGGAUCGGCCCGCGUCUGAUUAGCUUGUUGGUGGGGUAACGGCCUACCAAGGCGACGAUCAGUAGCUGGUCUGAGAGGAUGAUCAGCCACACUGGGACUGAGACACGGCCCAGACUCCUACGGGAGGCAGCAGUGGGGAAUAUUGGACAAUGGGCGCAAGCCUGAUCCAGCCAUGCCGCGUGAGUGACGAAGGCCUUAGGGUUGUAAAGCUCUUUUGCCCGGGACGAUAAUGACGGUACCGGAAGAAUAAGCCCCGGCUAACUUCGUG